Molecule: ribosomal RNA, 1258 nt
Filed under: Salmonella enterica subsp. enterica
Lineage: Bacteria; Pseudomonadati; Pseudomonadota; Gammaproteobacteria; Enterobacterales; Enterobacteriaceae
Description: partial 23S ribosomal RNA
Rfam family: Bacterial large subunit ribosomal RNA
Source: RNAcentral
CACACGGCGGGUGCUAACGUCCGUCGUGAAGAGGGAAACAACCCAGACCGCCAGCUAAGGUCCCAAAGUCAUGGUUAAGUGGGAAACGAUGUGGGAAGGCCCAGACAGCCAGGAUGUUGGCUUAGAAGCAGCCAUCAUUUAAAGAAAGCGUAAUAGCUCACUGGUCGAGUCGGCCUGCGCGGAAGAUGUAACGGGGCUAAACCAUGCACCGAAGCUGCGGCAGCGAACGUAUCACCCAAGACAACUUUGCGGAGUUGACGAUUGACGGAGCGAAGCGACGUCAAAGCGUUCAUUAAAGUCGAGUUGGCUUAGGGAUACGUUCGUUGGGUAGGGGAGCGUUCUGUAAGCCAGUGAAGGUGUGUCGUGAGGCAUGCUGGAGGUAUCAGAAGUGCGAAUGCUGACAUAAGUAACGAUAAAGCGGGUGAAAAGCCCGCUCGCCGGAAGACCAAGGGUUCCUGUCCAACGUUAAUCGGGGCAGGGUGAGUCGACCCCUAAGGCGAGGCCGAAAGGCGUAGUCGAUGGGAAACGGGUUAAUAUUCCCGUACUUGGUGUUACUGCGAAGGGGGGACGGAGAAGGCUAUGUUGGCCGGGCGACGGUUGUCCCGGUUUAAGCGUGUAGGUGUGUGUUCUAGGUAAAUCCGGUUCACUUUAACACUGAGGCGUGACGACGAGGCACUACGGUGCUGAAGCAACAAAUGCCCUGCUUCCAGGAAAAGCCUCUAAGCAUCAGGUAACAUCAAAUCGUACCCCAAACCGACACAGGUGGUCAGGUAGAGAAUACCAAGGCGCUUGAGAGAACUCGGGUGAAGGAACUAGGCAAAAUGGUGCCGUAACUUCGGGAGAAGGCACGCUGACACGUAGGUGAAGUGAUUUACUCAUGGAGCUGAAGUCAGUCGAAGAUACCAGCUGGCUGCAACUGUUUAUUAAAAACACAGCACUGUGCAAACACGAAAGUGGACGUAUACGGUGUGACGCCUGCCCGGUGCCGGAAGGUUAAUUGAUGGGGUCAGCGCAAGCGAAGCUCCUGAUCGAAGCCCCGGUAAACGGCGGCCGUAACUAUAACGGUCCUAAGGUAGCGAAAUUCCUUGUCGGGUAAGUUCCGACCUGCACGAAUGGCGUAAUGAUGGCCAGGCUGUCUCCACCCGAGACUCAGUGAAAUUGAACUCGCUGUGAAGAUGCAGUGUACCCGCGGCAAGACGGAAAGACCCCGUGAACCUUUACUAUAGCUUGACACUGAACAUUGAGCCUUGAUGUGUAG